AGGACGAACGCUGGCGGCGUGCUUAACACAUGCAAGUGGAGCGACGAACCAGGGCUUGCCCUGGGGCAGAGCCGCGAACGGGUGAGUAACACGUGGGUUACCUGCCUCGAUGACCGGGACAACCCGAGGAAACUCGGGCUAAUACCGGAUGUGCCCGCAAGGGGAAAGGAAGCUUCGGCCUCCGCAUCGAGAUGGGCCCGCGGCCCAUUAGCUUGUUGGUGAGGUAAUGGCUCACCAAGGCUUCGAUGGGUAGCUGGUCUGAGAGGACGAUCAGCCACACUGGGACUGAGACACGGCCCAGACUCCUACGGAGGCAGCAGUGGGGAAUCUUGCGCAAUGCGCGAAAGCGUGACGCAGCAACGCCGCGUGGGGAAGAAGGCUUUCGGGUGUAAACCCCUUUCAGUUGGGACGAAGCUUCUCCGGUGAAUAGCCGGACGGAGUGACGGUACCUUCACAAGAAGCACCGGCUAACUACGUGCCAGCAGCCGCGGU
This 492-nucleotide ribosomal RNA is filed under the name uncultured bacterium. RNAcentral's name for it is "SSU rRNA". It matches the Rfam family "Bacterial small subunit ribosomal RNA", at positions 26 to 521 of the family's 1533-position model. The record is from RNAcentral.